RNAcentral lists this long non-coding RNA (712 nucleotides) under Capra hircus (goat). RNAcentral's name for it is "lncRNA (ENSCHIG00010010073.1)". Lineage: Eukaryota; Metazoa; Chordata; Mammalia; Artiodactyla; Bovidae. The record is from RNAcentral.
UUAGAAUUUAGCCUUUUGAGCAAAUCCACCCUCAAGAAAAUUUUGCCCUAUACAGGCUCUUAAUGCCUAGUUACCCAGGGCAGGUACAUUAUUCACUGCAGAGGAAAAAUCUGACAUUCUGGUUUAUAAAUUGAAUCAAUAAAGUGAAUCAAUUCUCAGCUUUUGAUGAACUUCUGGUUUCACAACUGUGACCCUCUAACAAUGAGGUAGACUGUGUUACCAUCUGCUGCCCCUCACUACCAGACCUGUCCCUACUGGUUCUGCCACUUUGCAAAAAUGAUACUUCCCACCCCAGUGUCAACCAUAUUAAAGAAAUGUGAAUGGAAGUAACAUGGAAGCUUAUUUCCAAGGGUAGGUUUUAAAAACCACUAUGUAGAUAGACCUGUCUCUCCUCCUUCCAUGUAUGCCAUGUCAGUGCCACGGAAGGAGCAGCUAAGCACGGGGUCUCAAAGGCGAGGGCCAAAAACAGCCAUAGAGACUUAUAAUAUGAGCAGCAAAUCAACCCGCCUUCUAAGCAGUUACUGACCCAUGAUGUUCCCUAACAUACGCACUCACCUUUCUUAGGAAUAUAUGAAAUGAUUACAGAGCCCAACAGUAACAAGACUGCCACUUACUGUAUGCCUUUCAUAUGCCAGGCACAGUGCUAGCUCUUUAUACAUCAGUAUCAGUUCAGUCACUCAGUCGUGUCUGACUCUUUGCAACCCCAUGAACU